Carya illinoinensis is the source of this 1833-nucleotide long non-coding RNA. RefSeq lists it as uncharacterized. Lineage: Eukaryota; Viridiplantae; Streptophyta; Magnoliopsida; Fagales; Juglandaceae. The record is from RefSeq and is a predicted model, not a curated record. The transcript is spliced from 2 exons.
CUAGACGGGAAACGAUGUCGUUUUCAUCAUACCGUUCAACCCACCCCAUCCCAAACGCAAACGGCGCCGUUUUGACACCCAAAAAACCUAACCCUACGCCAGCCGUAUAUAAGCCUCCUUACUCACCCAUCCCUCAUUUCCCCUCCUCUUCCUUCUUCCGUCCUCUCUCUCUCUGUCUCUGUCUCUCUCUCUCUCAGCUUUCUUCUUGUCGUUUCAUCUCUCUCUCAGUUUUUUUCUUCUCGGUUUGGUCUUUUGGAUUUCCCUUAGCCCUGCUUCUCUUCUGUCACUUUAUUUUUCUCUUCUCUUGCAUUUAUUUUGUUUAUUUUCUCUGUGUUUAGAUAUACAUUAUUGUUUACGAUUUUUUGUUUUUUUUUGUUAUUUUCAUGGUGGCUUGUGUUGUUAUUUGUUAUAUACAUGGGGAUUUCUUUUAAAUUGUUUUUAGAUCUGGAGAAAAAAAAAAAAAAAAUUUUCUUGCGUGCGAGUUCAUCUUGUUUACAUAUAUGUAGAAAUUCUUUUUUCCUUGCAUUUCUUCUAUUUUUUUUUUCUUGUUGUUUGCUGUUUGAUAUCUUGUUUACAUAUCUGCCUACUCUUUACAUUUUUUUUUUUGCUUUUUUUUUUUCCUUUGCGUUCUGAUAUGCGUUUCAUUUCUUCUCGAUUUUCUUUGCAUUUUUUUUCUUGUUAUUUUCUGUCUCCUUUGCGUUCUGAUGUGUAUCUCAUCUUGUUCUUCUCGCAUGUGUUUUUUUCCUCGCACAAAUUUUUUUUUUCAGAUCUGUAUAACAAAAGUAUUUGUUUUUUUUUAGAUAUGCAUUUCUAGCAUCUUUUCGUUUCAGAUCCAACUUUUUCUUUUCCCUUUCGGAUGUUUUUUUUUUCAUCGCACAAUUUUUUUUUUCACAUUUGUAUAAGAAAAGUAUUUGUUUUUUUUUAGAUAUGUAUUUCUAGGGUUCUUUCAUUUCAGAUCUAAGUUUUUCUUUUCCCUUUCGUUUGAUUCCUUCCGUUUGAUUUGUGCUCGUUUUUGUUUGUAAUUUUUUUUCUUCUUAUUUUCCGUCUUGUUUGCAUUCUAAUCUGUGUCUCAUGUUGUGUUUUUUUCCCCUCGCACAGAUUUUUUUUUUCACAUCUGUAUAAGAAAAGUAGUUCCUUUUUUUUUUUUUUUUUACCAGAUAUGUAUUUCUAGGGUUUUGUCCUUUGAUAUCCAAGUUCUUAUUUUCCCUUUCGUUUGAUUCUUACCACUUUUCUUUCCUACGGUUUCAUUUCUGUAAAAGUUUUUCGUUGUUUUGUGUUUCUCGAUUUUGUUUGUGAUUUUUUUUUCUUCUUAUUUUUCGUCUUGUUUGCGUUUUGAUCUGUCUCAUGUUGUGUUUUUUUUUUACCUCGCACAUAUUUAUUUUUUCAGAUCUGUAUAAGAAAAGUAUUUUUUUUUUCAGAUAUGUAUCUCUAGGGUUUUUUCGUUUCAUAUCCAAGUUCUUAUUUUCCCUUUCAUUUGAUUCGUUCCACUUUUUUUUUCCUAGGGUUUCAUUUUUGCAAUUUUUUUUUCGUCGUUGUUCUAUUUUUAUCUAUACUGCGUUUGAUUUCUUCUAUUUUUGUAUAUGGCGUUUGAUCUAUACUUUGUUUUUAUUUAUUUAUUUAUUUAUAUUACUUUUGUAUUUUUCAGAUCUAUAGGUUUGUUCCCCACUUCCGUGCUUUCGUUGAACCAGAAUCAACAACCCCAUCAACCUAUCUUCACUAAGGACAUAGAAGGAAAUUAGAAGAUGAAUUUAUAGCAUGUGUUUGAUUUUUUUGUUGGGUUUACUCUGUAAAAUACACAUGUGAAUACGCAGAUGUACUUUUUAUUUUCUUUCA